AUCUUAAUAUGGUACAUCACUUUCAGCGUGUGCUCUAUAAAUGUGUUAUUAUUUUGAAAAGUGAAUGGAUGUCAAAAUCCCACGAACAAGCACAGAAAGGCAGAACAGGGCUAGCAGCUUGUCUUCCCAGAAUGAAUAUUGCGCCAACCACUGUGAAAACCUGGAACUCCAAUAGUCAUUCCACACACAAAAAAAUCUGAUGCUUAGCAUACAUAUUUUUGGAACAUCUAAUAAGUUAAUACUUUACAUUAGUGGGGUUUUUUUACAUUUAUAGUAAAUCUGACACAUAAAGACCUCCAUCCUCAGCCACCCCAACUCUGUGUGAAUGGCACCUGGUGGCUUGUCUGAUGAGCUGCAGCCACACUGCCACCAGCUUGCCCAGCCUCAGGCUUCUCCUCCAGGGCUUGGAUAGGUGAGGACACAGGUAGAAGGUGUCAACUAUGAGGAAUGGACCUUCACCAGACACCAAAUCUGCUAUUUCCUUGAUCUCGGACUUCCUAGCCUCCAUCACUGAACUGGAAUUUGACAUAAGACUCCACACCAACAUAUUUUCAGUCUUCUGGGAAGAUGGCAUCUGACCAGGCAAGAACUACCCGGACCGAUGGUUUCUGCUGGAGGGAGAACUAGAGGUGGUUUGGGGCACACAGAGGGGAAGCCCUCAUCUGGUCUUCGGGGCAGGGUGGUGGAGACAAACAGGCAGAGGCAGCCAUGUUCACAUUAGUCAGGGUAAAGAGCACAUCCCUGGGGAACUUUUUUAUACCCAGGUACAGUCACCAUGGGGAGUGACGGCUGGGACGUGGGGGACCACGGAGUCGCCAGCCAAGUCGGGAAGGGUGUUUGGAUUUCUCAGGAAGACAUCGCGGGCCACCCAGAGAAGGGCAGGACACAGGGCACGAGGACAUGAGGAAGGAGGCUCAUGCCCACCAAGCGCAGGGCCCGGCUGAGACCGGUGAGGGCAGAUGGGAGCCUGAGCAGGUACAGGGUCAGGAGUUACAAAGAUAGUGGUCAGGUUCCUAGAGCUCAGGCAUUCAGCUGGCGUGGAGGGGAAGUCCACUGGGGCAGCUGGAGGCACAAGAGAGAAGAGCUGGAUGUCCCUGAGGCCAGCAUCUGAAUGAGAGCAGAGCUCGUGGAGACACAGCAAAGUUAAACGAAAGCCUACCAAGGUAGGAGCGAAAGGUAUUAGGCAAGAGAAGACAACAUAAGAAGUAAAAGUGAUAAGUUCACUGAUUUAUACACUAACUCACACUAAGGAUAGGAACUGUGCAGUGUUGAUCCACGCCUAGAGGUGGAAGUUAUCUAAGCCAGCAGUCCCCAACUUUUUGGGCACCAGGAACCAGUUUCAUGAAAGACAUUUUUCCACUGACCAGGUGCAGGGGCUUGUGGGGGGAUGGUUUUGGGAUGAUUCAAGUGCAGUACAUUUAUUGUGUACUUUAUUUCUAUUAUUACUACAUUGCAAUAUAUAAUGAAAUAAUUAUACAACUUACCUUAAUGUU
Pan troglodytes (chimpanzee) is the source of this 1493-nucleotide long non-coding RNA. RefSeq lists it as uncharacterized. The transcript is spliced from 3 exons. The record is from RefSeq and is a predicted model, not a curated record. Lineage: Eukaryota; Metazoa; Chordata; Mammalia; Primates; Hominidae.